This 74-nucleotide small nuclear RNA is filed under the name Canis lupus dingo (dingo). Lineage: Eukaryota; Metazoa; Chordata; Mammalia; Carnivora; Canidae. The record is from RNAcentral.
GUAUGAUCCAGAGAAUACUAGCACGGUUCUUGCAUAAAGAUGCCAUGCAAAUUAGUGAAAUGUACCAUUAUAUU